CACGCUCCCCCGCUCGCACGCGGCUUUGCCCCAGCACGCAGCGCCGGCGGGGAGGUGGGGACGGGGCCUCCUCCUUCCUGUUCUCCCGCUCCCAGAGCCUCCUCCCUUUGUCCUCCUUCUCCCGAGGCCUCCUCCUCCCUUCUGUCCUCCCUCUCCUGGAGGAGGAGGCGGAGGAGCUGGGGCACGCAGGAGGUUUCCUGCUCCUUGCUCGUGCAGGUCCAGGCAGAGCCCGGCUGUGAUGUACUCCUUGUGCUCCUUGCUGACGGGGACCUGAGUCAGCCAUGACACCUUGUCUGGGCUCCCCAAGCACGGGCACGUGGCCCCUGGGAGCUGACGUGGCCGUACAUCAGGGACUUCAGAAGCACACAGUGAUGAGUGACCUUCACCAGCUGCACCAAGGUACUAAUGGAACCAGAUGACCAAACUCUGCGGCAGAAUGCAAUCUGACUUGCUUCUCUCCAAGAAAACAGCACCACUUUCCCCCAGUUUAACCCAGCGAGGAUGUAAAGCUGCGAGAUUUGGAUGGAAUGCCACGAAACAGAAGCAAGCUAUGAGAUAGCACGGGAAUUGCGUUCUCCAGGUGGGACAGAGCUUGGGAGGAGAGCACCCUCUCAAGGAAAACCUCAUCUGGAAAAACCUCCUGGCACGUUGCUGGGAGGGAUGGGCUGAGCCAUACUGGGAACCUGUCUGGAUGAAUCAAAACUGUUGUGAAAGAGCCCCUGGGUGGCUGGGAAGAGGGGGAGCUUGGUGGAGGUGGCUGGGAGAAGCAAACACCAUCAGACAGCCUCGCCAUCACCGUCGCCCAUUGCCUUCCCAUUGCCCACAGCCACUGGGAGAAGCAUGGAAAGGAGCGGCCGGGAGCCAGGAAUGCCCAUGUUUAGUCUACUGCAGUCUGCACAUCCAGCCCCGGAGCACGCGGGUUCAGCACCAUCGGGGAGAGAAACCGCUGGGACGUGGAGGGGGGGAAUGAAGUUCUUGGCUGGCUGUUGCCUGCAUCAAGCCCAGACCGAUGUUCUGACGCGCGGGAGGAUCUGCGGGCUCGCUGCAGGAUUUCCUCUCCUUUGAGGACGAGCCAUGUGCGCCCGCAGCUCAUCAUGCUUUUUUUUUCCCCCACGUCAUCUUGCUCCUGAGUUCUGUGCAGAGAGGGCUGAGCCCCUUCCGGCUCAAAACUUCACGUUCAGGGGGCAAAAAGGGCGUGCAAAUGCUGCGUUCUGGCACUGAACCCCAGGAGACCCAGGAGAGCCGGCACGGAGCCGUGCCCAGACACUGCCCUCCACAUCCAGCCCGCGACGUUUGGGGAGGGAGCAGUGUCAGCACCGCUUCCUGCUACCCCGGAAUGUACAAGCAAGCUCUGCAGGCUCUGGAGGAAAAAAGGAAGAGGAUCGGGACACGGCCCAGCUUCCUCGUGAAUCCCUGGGGGCCAACGUGUGCUAGAGACAGGCCGAGCGCACGAGAAGCGCAGCGAGCAGCUUAUCGCUCCUCUAUUACCUCAGCCUUACAACCCC
Numida meleagris (helmeted guineafowl) is the source of this 1505-nucleotide long non-coding RNA. RefSeq lists it as uncharacterized. Lineage: Eukaryota; Metazoa; Chordata; Aves; Galliformes; Numididae. The transcript has 6 exons. The record is from RefSeq and is a predicted model, not a curated record.